GGAAUUAGAUCUCAACCCGUUUCCCAUGUCCCCCGUAGAAACUAACACAAGGCCUAUUGGGAAGUGGAUUCAGCUGUGCUUUAGAACUGCCUAAAACCCCUUCCAGGGGCGCCCCUCCAUCCCCUUGCCGGACCACCAGCCCAGUAGACCAGGUUGGGGGAGGCAGUCCCCAGCUCACCAGGCAAUCUCUUCCAAAGGGCUCCAGGGGCUUCUAACAUGCAACUAGGGCUGAGAACAGCUGCUAAGAUGAAAAAGGGGGUGGUAGUGGAUUACAGUUUCUCAGUUACCUGUUUUGCGCGGCAACACUGCCCGUGCAACCACCAAGCCAUGCUGGAUGGUGAGUCGUACCCACAGGCUGACUCUCCAGAUGAAGGAAGAAACGUGAGGACCCGCAGAACUUCCCUCGCUAUAGGAGAGGAAAGGAGUUUUGAGGCUAGAGGUUCCCGGUAGGACCACACUGCCAUCUGCUGGCCUGGCCGGGAACAGCGCGCCCCUGAGCCGGGCCGCGGGCUCCAAACGUAUUGAUUGAUCUGCACUCUUUAUUGACAGAAACCUCCCUAUCCUCUCCGCUGCCCCGGUGAAGGGCUUAAGGGCCAAGGAAGUCAGUGCCUGCGUGCUUAGUCGCUGCAGUCAUGUCCGACUCUCUGCGACUCCAUGGACUAUAACCCACCAGGCUCCUCUGAACAUGGGGAUUCUCCAGGCAAGAAUACUGGAGUGGGCUGCCAUGCCCUUUUCUAGGGGAUCUUCUCAACUCAGGGAUCGAAACUGCAUCUCUUUUGUCUCCUGCAUUGCAGGCGGAUUCUUUACCACUGAGCCCCGCAAGAAGCCCAUACCCAUUGCCUAUUGCAAUAACCCUUCACUGUCUGUGAAUCUCUACUUCCUUCCAUGCCUCCCUCCAUUCUCUAUGCUGUCACCAGACUGAUGCUUCCAAAACGUAACCUCAUCCCAAGGUGCCCUGCCUGCCCCCAGCCUUUCGCCUGUCCCUGGAGAAUCCAGAUUUGUUCUUCCAGACGUGAUGCUGACACCACAGCUGCAACACUUCCUGGGGCACCCCGCUCUGCUCACAGCACUCUGUCCAUCUCAAUGCGCACUGGGCGUCCCCAUAGCUGUGUCCACCACAUCGCAGGCAGGGGCUGUGUUCUGCUUAUCACUCAGGGCUUGGCUAGCAUCUCCCAUGGAACAGGAAACCACUCAAGAGACUUUAUCAACUGUUUGUGAUACUCUG
Molecule: long non-coding RNA, 1225 nt
Organism: Bos taurus (domestic cattle)
Lineage: Eukaryota; Metazoa; Chordata; Mammalia; Artiodactyla; Bovidae
Source: Ensembl